CUGUUCACUUGAUGAUUUUAAGGUUGCAAUCGCCAAGUAUAUUAGCUCUCCACCAAUGUCAGAUACCAACUUAAAGUUUGUCUUUGAGGAGUUACUGGAAAGGGCCAGGGA
This is a long non-coding RNA of Capsicum annuum, 111 nucleotides long. RefSeq lists it as uncharacterized. The record is from RefSeq and is a predicted model, not a curated record. The transcript has 2 exons. NCBI's taxonomy places the organism in Eukaryota, Viridiplantae, Streptophyta, Magnoliopsida, Solanales, Solanaceae.